Molecule: unclassified non-coding RNA, 238 nt
Filed under: Rhizophagus sp. (in: glomeromycetes)
Lineage: Eukaryota; Fungi; Glomeromycota; Glomeromycetes; Glomerales; Glomeraceae
Description: partial contains 5.8S ribosomal RNA and internal transcribed spacer 2
Rfam family: 5.8S ribosomal RNA (bases 1-65)
Source: RNAcentral
GUGAAUCAUCAAAUUUUUGAACGCAAAUUGCACUCUCUUCGGAGAGUAUGCCUGUUUGAGGGUCAGUAUUAAUAAAAAUCGGUGUGUUGCUUCUUUGUGACGCUCCGGAGUUUGGGUCAUCUUAAUAUCCUUUAGGUUUUAAGAGGCUUAAAAUUGACUUUUUUUGCGCAUUUUAGAUGUACAUAAAUUUUUUUUUUUUUCGUUUAUCUUAAUGGCAAAAUUCUCUUUGUUUGCGAUC